UGGAAAAAGUCAUCUCAAAAAAAGAGAACAAGAGGCAGUACUGACUGCCAAAGACCUAAUCAGUAUGAAUAUAAGUAAGUUGUCAGAACUAGAAUUCAGAAAAAAAAUAUUACA
Long non-coding RNA from Mustela erminea (ermine), 114 nucleotides. RefSeq lists it as uncharacterized. NCBI's taxonomy places the organism in Eukaryota, Metazoa, Chordata, Mammalia, Carnivora, Mustelidae. The transcript has 3 exons. The record is from RefSeq and is a predicted model, not a curated record.